CACAUUCAACUCUUUUUUAUUAGUUACUUUCAUAAAUUCAUUUUCUGAAUAUUUUUCCAGUUUUUAAAACAAUGGCUUAGCUUUCAAAUUCACAUAAUAAGGAUUUAUCUGUCAUGUUCUCUGUAUCACCUAGAUGUUAAAUUAACACCCAUCUGUUUUAUUAAUGACUAAAUGUAUACACACAUAUUACAUAUUUUCAUAGCCGAGCUAAUAAAAUACACACGUGUGUGUAUUUGUAUGUCAUCUUGUAUUUUAUAGGUAUAUUUCAUAUUUUUGUUUUACUUUUUCUCUUGAAGUUUUUAAUUGAUACUUUUAAAAUUUACUUAUUUUUAAAUAUAAGUAUCAUUAACUGAGCCCACACUGUCCAACAAAUAAAAAGCUCCCCUUGAAGGAAUCAAAUAUCUACUCGCUUUACCAUUAUUUUUCCGAGCAGACAUCCCUCCAGUGUAGACUGAGCCCUCUCCAGGGUUUCUGAAGUCUUCUCUCGUCGUCAUCCUGAGAAUUCCCUUCAGCUCUGUGCUGGGUCUCCUUUUCCUGAUCUCAAGCCAUCCCUUCUCUUUGUUUUCUUUUCCUUCCUCAUUUUGUUGAAACAUGGCCUUCAGUAGCUGGAGAAGAAGUGGUGCAAAACUACUUUACUUUUUGUGAACCUGUAUGUACAAAAAUAUCUACUACACUCUUCUUGACUUCAGAGAUUUAGUAAGUAGAAUUCUAAGUAGGAAACCAUUUUCUCUUCAAAUUUGGAAGACACUUCUGCAGUUUAGUGUAGUUAUACUGCAAUGUUGUUAGGGAGAAAUCUGAAGCUUUUUUGACUCCCAUCAUUUGGUUUUGAUCUAUCUUUUCUCUCUGAAAGCUUUUUAAUAUAUUAACUUUGUCUCUGAUAUUUUGACACCUUACAAUAAAAUGACUUAGUUUUCUGAAUUUUAAAAUUACUUUUCAGGCCUUCAGAUGAAGUCUUUCAUUCUAGAUGCUCUUGUUCUUUCAGAUUUUGGGAAUAUUUUAGUAGUGUUUCCUUGGUAAUUGUUCUAAAUUUUUAUUCUAUUUGAAAGGCAGAGACAUACAGAGAGAAGUAGAGACAGGAAGACAGAUGGAGAGAGAGAUCUUCCAUCCAAUGCUUCACUCCCCAGGUUUCCUCAACUGCUAGGGCUGGACCAGGCUGGGAGCCCAGAACUCUCUCUACAUCUCCCAUAUGGGUGGCAAAUAGUCGAGGCACCAUCCACUGCCUCCCAGGCUGUACCUUAGCAGAAAGUUGGUUCCGGAGUAGAGUAGUCAGGACUUGAACCAGCUGGUUCUGGUAGAACAUGAUGGUGAAGAGCCAUGGUCUCUGGGAAUGGAAAGCAUAUACUGAGGGAGAGAGGAAGAUGCCUGAGGCAACCUAUUUUGAAGAUUUAUUUUGCUCAAAAUUCUAGAGGUUCAAGGGCUUGGCACUGGCAUUAGUCCCACUUUGGUAAAGACAUCAAGGUGGAUGGUAUCUUGAUGGUGAGAACAAGGAAUCACAUCACCAGACAGGAAUCCAAGAGCCCAGGAAAUGGCAAGGCUUGUUCUUUUAGUAACAACACUUACUAGAGAACUGACACAAAAAUCCCAUGAGAACAAUGUCGGUCCCUUUCAAGGGCAGUGUCCCCAGUGACCUAAGGACUUCUCACAGGCCCACCCCUGAAGCUCUUAUCACUUCCCAUGUCACCAACACAUGAACUUUUGAGGGACAAGUCACACCCAAACUGUACAUCAUGGCCUUCUCUGUUACAACAAGGAUUAUCAGAGUAUGAUGUGAGGCAAAUAUAGACAAAUACACACAAUCUAUGCAACCAUCAGGAAGGUGAGGUUUUAACAACGAGUAAGAAAGUAACAUGUUAGAAAGGAGGUAGGGCUGGCCGGCGCCGAGGCUCAAUCAGCUGAUCCUCUGCCUGCGGGACCAACACCCCAGGUUCUAGUCCCGGUAGGGGCGCCAGAUUCUGUUCCUGUUGCCCCUCUUCUAGUCCAGCUCUCUGCUGUGGCCCGGGAGUGCAGUGGAGGAUGGCCCAAGUCCUUGGGUCCUGCACCCGCAUGGGAGACCAGGGGAAGCACCUGGCUCCUGGCUUCAGAUCAGCGCGGUGCACCGGCCACAGCAGCCAUUGGAGGGUUAACCAACAGAAAGGAAGACCUUUCUCCCUGUCUCUCCCUGUCUCUCUCUGUCUCUCUCACUGUCCACUCUGCCUGUAUAAAAAAUAAAAAAAAAAAAAGAGGUAGGGAUCUGCAAAGAGCAUUUGGAAACUUGAUGUUUUGAAAUGUUCAUGAUAAUACUAUUAUAUGAAUAUGUUCACAGUGAACAAUGUGCAGGUUUUUAAAACUCUUGGCUAAAUAAUUUUAGGGAUGUUCCAAGUGAAGAAUUUAAGUAGAUUUUUGAACCCAUUUGUGAAAAAUAUAGAAAUACCUUACCUCCUAAUUAGCUUGCAAUGGAAUUAAAGAAAAAUGGAAGUUUGCUAGCUGGUUUAUAACAAAUAUCUUGGAUUGAUUAAUGGGCGAGAUUGAAAAAGGAUAUAACAGUAUUCAUUUCUUAGCAGUUAAUUUAUUAAAAUGACAUACGUAUGAGGGAGUCUUCAGAAAGUUCAGGGAAAGUACACAUUAUAAAAAAAUUCUCCAUGGAUUUCAAAACUUUUACACUCACAAGAUAAUUAACUUAAUCUUUUAAUUCAGUUUUUCCAUAAACUUUUUGAAGCACUGGAGUGCAUGUUCAAAUUCUGUGCUUACAAUAUUUGUUUGUUAGGAAUGUUAGUGAAAAAACAAAGACUAUGAGUUUAAAAUCAAAGAUUUGAAGUAGAAUGAUCUAAAUUUGAAUCUCAGUUUUGUUAUUUAUUAGCAAGAUGAACGUGGGAACAUUUGCAUCCAAUUUUCUAAUUCCUCAACUUCGAAAAUAUUCAAGGCCUGCAAGAAAUAGGGAGAUGUUGACCAAAGGGUACAACUUUGAGUCAUAAGUUAAGUAGGUUCUGGAGCCAUCACAUCCAGAAUGAAGAUAGUAUAUAAUAUUAUAUUGUAUGUUGAAAUUUGCUAAAAAUAAGUCUUAAGUGUUCUCACCACAUUACACUUACAAGGUAACUCUGUGAGGUAUUGGAUAUGUUAAUUCAGUUCACUGUCAUUUCUCUAUGUGCUCAUACAUUAAAAUAUCACAUUGUACAGCUUACAUACAUCCAAUUUUUGUCAAUUAUAUCUCAAUACAACUAAGAAAAAAUUACUCAGACAUAAAAAUAACAUAGAGUAUAUUCAAAGUGUUUAAUCAAAAGCCUAGACAACAGUAACUUUCAAUAACUUUUGUCUAUCAGUAAUUAUGAAAUGAUGCUGAUAGUGAUAAUGAUGUAGCCUGCAGACCUGCCCUUAUGUGAUGAAAGAGAAUAUUUACAGAUUCCUGGUCCUUUUCAAAGCUAGUGUGCUAGCUAACUGAUGACUCACUUCUAGCAAAAGCUGAGCUAUAUUAAAUAGUGUUUGCAUUGGGUCCUCUAAAAAUGAUGGCAAAUAUAUGGAAGGAAUCCCAUCUUUCUCUCCUGUACCCAUGCGAGUAACUGUUCUUCUGUCUUGAGAAUGGAAGCCUUGAUAAAUUCUCAAUUCCAAUUGUAUCCAGGGAGUCACUACUGUGGUGGGCAGAAGAGUUGGGACCUGGUUGCCAACUCCGGCUCAGGGAGUAUUCAGCUCCUCCUUUGUUCUUGGAUUGUUCCCUUUUGUCCACAGGCUGUGGCUUUGGCCACUUCAUUGAACCCCUCAUAGUAUGAUUUUAAGGACAAGUAAUGCUGAUUUGUGUGUUACCAGGAAGCUCAGAUACUAACAUAGUUUGUGCUGUACAAGGACCCUUUCAUGUGUAUUUUCGUUGUGCUGAUGAGAAGUGGGAGCACUGUAGAGCAAAGGCAGGAAUUUAUAACAACAGCUGGAGAAUAGAAGUGGACACUUGACCUCCACGUCAGGGAACAACCUUCCAGACCCAGGGCCUUGUGCUCUGUGAACGAGAAUGUGAGAAGACUGGACUAGCGGGCAGUGACCCCUCAUCUGCUCAUUUCCCUUAAGAUCAUUUGCCUUAUCAAAUGAAACAGAUACAGUAAGUAAGUAAUAUUUCACUUAGUAUAGGAGUCUAUCUUUAACAAUCCAGUUGUGCAACUCUUCUUAGAAGAGUUUAUCUCGAUGGACAUUGUGGUAUGAUCAGGGAUUCCAAGAGCGUUGUAGAAAAUAGGGUGUCUGGAAGGGGUCUGAGGGCCGGGGAAAGAGGACAGAACAGGGAGGUUAGGGGCCCAUGUGUCUGGGCUCCUGCAGCAGCUCCUGUGCAUCAUCUCCCACAGGUGCUUGCCCUCUGUUCCUUAGAGGCUUCAGGAACACCCUCUGUCAUUUGAAUGCACUUGAGAUGCCAGUGUCUUGCCUAAUCCUUCAUUUGCUAUUCACAUUGGGAGUUCUUAGCUCAUCAAAGCCUGCAACUAACUUCAAAUGAAAGAAAAGAAAGUCUACAGAGUACAGCUGAUCAUAUCACUAAACUUACCAAAUGUGUUUACAGAACUGUCAACCAGCAUAACUUGGUCAGUUUUUCUGGUUUGUGGUUAAAGGCAGAACUCAGCCUUGGAAUAGGACUGCAUAGGAUCAAUUUGAAAAGCCUCUUUCUUUAAACAUGUGAACAACUUCUAUGGAAAGCCCCAACCCACAAGCUAAAAAAAUCACAGUUUUAUUUGUAAUAGAUUCAUCAAAACUCUCUUUUAAAUUUGAAAGACCUUGUAUAUAGCAUUUUCUCCAUGCAAGUAGCCAUUUGUGUGUAAUCAUGGAGAAUUAGCAUUAAUGGCCCUCUGAGGGUUCUUGACUGAUAUCCAGAUCCUCGGGGAUUUUUUUUUAUUUGAAAGAGUUACAGAAAUAGAGGGACAGACAGAUAAAGAGAGAGAUCUUCCUUCUGCUGGUUCACUCUUCAAAUGGCAACAAUGACCAGGACUGGGCCAGGCUGAAGCUAGGUUGUAGGAGCUUCAUGUGGGUCUUCCCCUUGGGUGGCAGGGCCCAAGCACUUGGACCAUCUUCUGCUGCUUUCCCAGGCCAUUAUCAGGGAGCUGGAUGGGAAGAGGAGCAGCCAGGACAAGAAUGGGUCCCAUAUGUGAUGCUGGUGUCUUAAGUGGUGGCUAACCUGCUGUAGCACAAUAUCAGCCCCCAAAAUCCUCAUAAAAAAAGUGAAGCCUAGACCAUCUAAUGAUGUAUCCAUGAUCAUAUGGAUCAGUGUGGGCAGAGUCAAGACUAGAGCCGGGUUUUUGAAACCUAAUCCAGCUUUAUUGUCAACAACUUAAGGUUUCCUGAACGCCGUGCUCCUGGGCCUGAUGGAGUUCAUCUGCACUAGGGAUUCUGCAUCUGUUCUCAGCUAAUUCCUGGGGAACGAUUAAUGGUUCCGCUAGAAACCAUGGUCCCUAAUUGUACCUCUCAGGAAGCACAGAUGACUCAGCCAUCCAACCUGCUGCAUGCUGAAAUGAAUCAGAGUGAAGCACUUUGAGCAUUUUCAUUGUGUGAAAAGACUGUCAGUUGCCUGGAUACCAGAGUGAAAAAUAUAAAGUAAUUGUGCUUCUGUAUGGCCACAGAGGAAGGAUAUUUAAUUGUCACCAGGAAGCCUGAGAAGAGGAGUCAAAGGCCAAGCCCCCAACAGAUGUGAAACAUUGGUUAAAUUCAGUGGAUUUGUCUUGCCACAGUAUUGGCACCUGUUCUGCCAGGCAGAAAUCAGCCAGUGAGAAGAGAGGAGGAGUAACGGUGAGAAGAUAGAUAAGGUUUUGUGAACUCUUACUCUGUUACUCUGGGCUGGGUAGAUGGCUAAGUGCACAAUCUUUGCAACUUUACCAGAACACUUUGAGGGAUGCACUUUCAUUACCCCCGUUCUACACAUGAGAAAACUGAAGAAGCUAAGUGUUAUCCAGGGAAGCAGACCUCAUAAGAAUGCAUGCAGUGAGAAGGUAUACUAGAGUUGACUGGACUGGAGAGCACAAGCUCUUACCAGCAACACUAUUCAGCUUCUCUGUGAAUGCCAUAGAGUGUGGUAUCAAUAAAUCCUCUUGUAGAAACCCUGUCUGCCUUCUGAACUGGCAGAGAAUGGGGUAUGUCCUCACCCAGAACAGCAAUCUAUUUUGUUACUUCUUGACUUUUAUUGGCAAAGCAUGCUCAGCCCAUGGGAAUGUAAGAAGCUUCUCUUCAUUCCACAAUGCAAUCAAGUAUUACGAUAGAGAGAGAGGUUGAAUAACUGUAAAAAUACACCCUGGAAGUUAAACAACUAGGUUGUAGCCCAGGCCCAUGUCACUUUGGAAAAGGCAGUUCCAGCUGGAAGAUUUUUGAAUAGGUGAUUUCUGAGAUCUUCUAGCUCAAACACAAACCAAAACUCCAGGCUGUGGAGACAGCUCAUCUUGGUUGAGUUCCAGUAUUUGCAUGUCUUGUGCAAAUUCCAUUACAUUAAUCUCCAUAUUCCUCAGAUAUUACAUUCAUAAAAAAUUUGUGAAAAAAUUAUAAAAAUGAUCUACCCCUCUUACAGAGUCACUGGGAAAAUUUAACAAAGCUGCGUGUGUACAAUGCAUCAUGCAAUACCAGCCACACAGUAGAUGUCUAAUAAAGAUUAGCCAUCAUCAUCACCAUAAUGGAGUCAUGAAAUAAAAAUAGUCAAGAAGGGCUGGCACUGUGGCAUAGCAGGUAAAGCCACCACCUGCUGUGCCAGCAUCCCAUAUGGGUACUGAUUCAGUUCCCGGAAGCUCCACUUCUGAUCCAGCUCUCUGCUAUAGCCUGGAAAAGCAGUGGAAGAUGGCCCAAGUCUUUGGGCCCCUGCACCCACAUGGGAGACCUGGAGAAAGCUCCUGGCUCCUGGCUUUGGAUCAGCCAAGCUCCGGCCAUUGCUGCCAUCAGGGAAGUGAACCAUCGGAUGGAAGACCUCUCUCUCCCUCUCUCUGCCUCUCUUUCUCUGUGCAACUCUGAGCUUCAAAUAUAUAAAUAAAUCUUUUAAAAAAGUCAAGAACUUGAUACUAAGAAUAUAUCUAAAAUAUAUCUUUUAAUCAAAUACUGACAUACACAUUUUUCCAUGGGACAGACAGAGCCACAUAUUGAGGUACAGAAGUUCCUGGAGUGAGGGUUUGUGAUCAGUGUUUCUGAGAGAAGGGGAUGGUUUGGUGGGAGGAAGAUGGCAGCAGACCAGAGAAGGAUAUCACAGUUGAAAUCUUGGGAAUAGGAUGGUGGGAUUUCCUGGAAGGGUGGGUAAGCCCAUGCCUGCUUAUUGAUGGCAGUGCAUUUAUUGUAAUGAAGUGUUGUUGGUGCUUGACAGCUCACUUGUUAAGACUGAUCGCUGAUCUUUGUUGGGGAAGCUGCUCGUCUGUGAUGAAGUCAGCUAGGAGGUCACCCUCUGAAUUGCCUUUAAACACUUUCUGAUGUCCUGAGAAAGGAGGCUUUUCUUGACAGUCUCAGAUUACCAACAACAGAAGACUGGAAGAAUGUAAAGGUGCCUGCUCAUCCCUGGUAAAUAGCACACACCCCCACCAUGCACUCACAAGGUCAGCAGCCUUGGAAAAUCCAUGAGUGUGUAACCACAUCCCCUGCCAGCAAGGAGGCAGGGUUGAGACAGAGUCAGGAGGGACUGUGGGGAGCAACUGGGAGCAACCCGGACUGGACUAAGUUACUGGAAUUAAGACUUAUUCUAUGCAUCUGCUCUCCCACAAUAUGGCGUUGGGAGAGAAGAAAACAGCUUAAGAAAACAGCUUCUACGCAGCUGCCUCUUGCCAACUUGAGUGAUGACCUCCAGGAGCUGAUCCUGCUCCUGAUUGGAGGAGAGCAGCGUACUCGGCGUGUGGGCAGCCAAGUUGGGAUUGGCGGAGGAGGACUAUAAAGGAGGAGAGAGACGGCAUGCACCAGGAACAUCUAAGGGGAACAUCUAAGAGGAACACCUGUGCAGCCCCCGAGAGAGCCGGCCGGCGGUGUGCCGCUCCCCCGCGGAAGUGGGGAAUGUGGCAGGGGGAACCGCCCUUCCACGGAGGUGGAAGGGACAAUAGCCAACCCGGGAAGAACCAGCAGCAAACCCGGGGAGGGCCGAGCAGACGAAAGAACAGCGCAGGGUCCUGUGUCAUUCCUCCACGAAGAAGGGGAGCGACAAGGGACCUGCUCCUGCUGCUAAAUGAACAACCUCUUGGUAAACCCUCAAUUUCUAGCACAUUUUCUAGAAUUUCUUGUGGGACACUUUAAGGAUAGGAUAACCUAAGACAAAACAAAAGCAAAUAAAGUUGUUUUUAAUCUUUGUUCUCUUCUGAAUGCUUGGAAGUUAUCAGUUGAAUUAAAUAGAAUUGUUUUCACCUGUGGGCAUUUUAUUGCCAUCUUUGAAGCAUUUUAGCACAUACAUAAUUUUAUAAUUCAUUUAUAUAAAAUAUAACAUGGAUUAUGUAUAUGAAAUAUAUAUAGGGAAUACAUAUGAAAUGUAUACACACAGACACACACAUAUAUAUACACAUGUAUGUAUACAUACAUAUGUGUGUAUAUAUAUAUAUAUUCCUUAGUGCUUAGCCCAUCAAGUGUGUAUUUGGAAGUGUUGUCAAUUCAGCUGAUGGAAGGUCAGACAUCCUCAGAGGAAGACAAGGCCUUAGGGGAGUUUGAAGUUUUCCGGGUACCUUCACACUGGUUGUCCAAAACUUCCCUCUCUCCAGUGUGCUACCACAGGCAGGCAUCACCCAUGUGUGAACAUCUUAGUCCCCUGAAUUAUUUUCACCUCUACAUGGGCUGCAUCUGAGGGUAACCCACCCACAAGGAUUACUAAUUAACCAUCACAGGGGAUUCCAAGGGGCUAGGCUCACUCAGACUGUGCUGAGUGGCUGCCAUCUUAUACUCUCUCGGCAAGUAGGUAGUCAAUGGUAUCCCCUUUUAAAAGGUGAAGAAGCCAGAGUUGAAUUUGGUUAAAAGACUCAUUGAAAACCAGAUGGCUGGUAACUGGGGAAUGAAUGGGGUUUGACUUUCUGAGCCCCACUGCCUUCCUGGGGUCAUGGCUCUGCUUUUCCUAGCCCUAAUUGUUCCCUAAUCUUUUGGGGCCUUGAUAUUUUUAAAUUUGUUCCAGUGAAGUUUAGAGGCUGUACUUUUUAAAAUAUAGACUUACAAGAUGUGAAGUAAAACACUAGACAAUGUAUAGAGCAAGACCAGCACUUAGAUUCAGUUACUUAGCUUCUGGGAAAACCCACCUGCUCAUACAAAGAAACAGAUCAUGUAUUUCUUAAUUCUGUAUUUUGACUACUGAGGGAAAUGUAGUUCUAUCAUGUAUAAAGCUGGUUUCCCAUGCCAUGUUUGUUUUGCAUUUCAUUGCUUUGUCAUGAAUGUUAAAUAUAGCAACAUGUGAUUAUAAUUAAUAUAUUUAUUCUUCCUCCUCCUGUUAUUAUAAUUAAUAUACUUAUUUGUCCCCCUUUAGACUGUAAACUCCUUUGGGAUCAGAAUCAUGUCUGACAUUUUUUCUCAUCAUCAACAUUUAACAAGUAUCAUAUAGAAUAGAUAAAAAACAUUUGCUUGUUGAAAUGUGAAUUAACUGGUAUGAGUAGAAUGUAGAGAUACUAUGCCCAACUGGAAUAGUGAUUUCCUACUUAGGGAAGGAUUUUCCCCUGGAAAAUAUGCACGAUUAUGGAACAUCCCUGUCAUAAGGACUUUCUGCAACAAUGGAGAUGUCCUAUCUGUACUGUCCAACUUGGUAGAUGCUAGUCAUGUGUGGCUACUGAGCACUGAGAGUAUGGCUAGUUCAUUGAGAAACUGAGUCUUAAGUUUUAUUUAAUAUUAAUUAAUUUAAAUACAUACAUGUGGCUCAUGGCUAGUAUAUAAGUUAUGGAGGAAGGAUUUAAAGAAACAUCUAAAAUGUGCUGAUAGUGGGAAAUAGUGUUUUGGUUGGUGUGCCCUUAAAAAAUCAUUUUGAAACUUACGAAUGAUGAGUAAUUUAACAAACACCUAGCAACUAUUGACUGGAUGAUGAUUGCUUCCUUUGUAGAGUAGGACCCUUGAUACUACUAAUUUGUAAGAUUAUUGAUGGAGUUAAAAGAGUAAUUAUGCAAAGUCCUUUAGCCUAGUGCUUAUUAAGGAUGACAGCUGUCAGUCUUCUCAUUGUUCUAUUGUUGCUUCAUAGUGAGCAUUGGAGAUGUGGACAGGACUGACAGUUUUUGGCCUCAAGUCCGGGGAGUGAGGACAGACAAGACACAUGGUACCCAGGGCACCCAUUCUGUCCCAGCUGUGUUGCUGACACAAGUUGGGAUGCUGCUGUGGCAUGCACAACUAAUUUGACUUUGUCACCAAGAGAGGACUUGUCUGACACGUAACACAGCUGGGAGAGACUCCCCUCAGGAACCUGUGGCUCGCUCUGACACACUUCAUCACUUGUAAUACCUUUCUGUUUAAUUGUUGUCCUGUGCCUAAUUGUGCUCAUUUUAUGUCAUUAAUCUCAUAGAAUUUUAGUAUGUGCUAUUAAACCUAGUUAAAAUGUGUUAAUCAUAGAUUCCAGGUGAAUCAUGUAUAGUCAAGGCCUGGAAGUAUCUGGGAACAUGGAUUACUUGCUACUAACGUUUCUUCUUUAAUGAAAAUGCAUGAGAAUAAGGACAGUAAGGGACCAUGGUCAGUUUAGAUUCUGAAAAAGUGGCCUGAGUAACACAUUAGAAGACUUACUAUCAGAGUACUGACGAUUAUUUUAUUUUAUUAUAGCAAAGCAUAAAAAAGAAGAUAAAAAUAUCCUUAACUGUUCUAAGUAACUUCAGUAUAACAAAAUAUGGAGAAUGUCUAUAAUGACAAAAAUAUUAGAACAGUUGGUGUGUAUUUUUGAAAGUAUUUAUUAUAUAAUUGCAGUCCUCACAGUCAUGGCUGUGGAAAGGAAGAAUGGGGGAAGGGAUGUGAGAUCUGCUGAGAAAACGAACUUUUUUUUCAAAGAAAUUGGCUUCUGAUUUGACAUUUAUGUUUUUAGGUCUGGGAAGAUUUAGGACUUGAGAAUGGAAAAUUGACUUUUAUACGUAUAUCCUUUCAAUGCUGUUGUUUUUAGAAUAGUUUCUCUGCUACAAUAUAUGAGUCUGCCAUGACUUUUAUGAGAAAAGAUAGGUCAUGCUCUCCUUUGAUAGACAUGUGAUAUAAACAUCAAGGUUAAAGAACUGUACACAUGACCUUUGAAAAGAAAGCAUUUCUGGUUCUGUCUUGACAACACCAUCACUACAGUCAUUCUUGCAGCUCCACCUGAAUAUAACAUCUAUAAAAUUAACCAUUUCUCAAGAGUAAGAGUUUAGAUGAGUGUCCUUCAGUAGAAGAAAACCCACUACGUGAAAAUUAAAAUAAAAGCAAUAAAUUAAUGCAGCAAAAACUCAUCAUAUAUGGGGGCCAGAACCUUCAAUUAUGUCAAACAUCGGGUGACAUUGUGGAGUGGAGAGUCCCAGGCAAGAGCCAAAUACACCUUGUAUUGAUUGAAUCUUGGUGCCAUCUGGUGGCACUAUUCUGCUUUGGCUUAAACAUAAUGAGAAUCUUAUAUCUAGUUGAAAAACAAAAACAUUUAAUUGUGUUAAUAAUCCUGAGGAGUUGGAGCUUCCAUGACUUUUUUUUUUAAGAACUGAUGAAGAGAAAUGUUGUGCUUUUAAUUCUGGCUUCCUGCUCACUAAGCCUUUUCUCAGCCUAGCAUCCAAAGUCAGGUGAGAUCCCUCCUGAGUCAUGGCAACUCCCAUCUUACUCUUGCUUCUGGAUGCUUUUCAGCCCAGGGAACUUAUUCAUGUACAUGUCAAUCGUACAAUUCAAAUUUUAAAAAGCAAAGACCAUGUUCCAAGUAUUUUGUCCUGGUUUCAGAUCAUGUUGACUAAUUUUGAGUUCAACAAAUAUGGUCAGCAUAUCCAUUAUUCCUCUCUGCUACAUAUAAAUGCAACAGAAUGUUGGGUGUAUUCCAACUCCUUUUUAGUUAACUUUAUAGAUAGUUCCCACCUGUAUUUUUUUUACCUAAUCAGAUUCAUAGAACCAUGUUAGUUCACAUCUUUUUCUGGUUGUCUCUAUGUAAAGAACUUGUUGUUUUCUGCACUGUGGGGUAAUGUUAUAAAUGACAUCUUUAUAUUACUGCAUGACCAGUCAUAUGAUGGUUGCCUAAAAAUAAUGAAGCAACACUCCUCUCAAACUUCUAGAUUUGUUCAAUGUGACUGUUGGAGACUACUAGAGCCUGGAAGGACUUGGAGCUUACCUUCCACCUCCCAUUUGGGGAGAUGAUGAAAGAGAAGAAAGGUUAUCUGUGCCCCAGGAAGUCCUACCUUCAAGAAGCUGACAGACUCUAAUGAUUGUAACAGAGACAGUCUUAUUUUGAAUACACAGCACAAAGAUUGUUCAUUCAGGACUUCAUUUUGAAGCAGUUGUCGUGCAUGUUCCCUGAGUGUGGAGGUGAUUUGAGAACAGACAAAGCAGGGUCUAGGGAUUUGCAAAUCAUAAAACAUCAGUAUAACAACAUAGGAGCACUGGCCAGAUGCUGGGGAGAUAUGUUCUUUAUUCACUCAACAAAUAUUGAGAAACUAGGAGGGGAAUUAAACAAGUUUGUACACAAAAUCUUUAAAGAUUUAUUUAUUUGUGUGGGGAGCAACCCAGACUGGACUGAGUUACUGGAAUUAAGACUUAUUCUAUGCAUCUGCUCUCCCACAAUAUGGCGCUGGGAGAGGAGAAAACAGCUUCUACGCAGCUGCCUCUUGCCAACUUGAGUGAUGACCUCCAGGAGCUGAUCCUGCUCCUGAUUGGAGGAGAGCAGCGUACUCGGCGUGUGGGCAGCCGAGUUAGGAUUGGCGGAGGAGGACUAUAAAGGAGGAGAGAGACGGCAUGCACCAGGAACAUCUGAGGGGAACAUCUACCUGAAGGAACACCUGUGCAGCCCCCGAGAGAGCCGGCCGGCGGUGUGCCGCUCCCCCGCGGAAGUGGGGAAAGUGGCCAGGGGGAACCGCCCUUCCACGGAGGUGGAAGGGACAGCAGCCAACCCGGGAAGAACCAGCAGCAAACCCGGGGAGGGCCGAGCAGACGAAAGAACAACACAGGGUCCUGUGUUGCUCCUCCGCGAAGAGGGGGAGCGACAAUUUGAAAGGCAGAUCAAUAGAUAUGAGGAAGAGAGAGAGAGAGGGAGAGGGUAUAGGGGAGAGAGAAAGAAAGAAAGAGAAUCUUCCAUCCACUAGAUCACUCCACAUUAUAUAUAUAAUGUAUAUGUAUGUAUAUAUAUAAUCUAUAAUCCAUAUAUAUAAUCUAUGUAUAUAUAAUCUAUAAUAUUAUAUAUAAUAUGUAUAUAUGUAUAUAUAAUCUUCAGAGCCAAUAACAAGAGAUCCCUCAGAUGUGUAAAAGCCAACAUAGAAACACAAGAAAUAUGAACAAAGAAAGCAAUAUAACACCCCAAAAGUAACACAAUAAUGCAUUAAUAUUGGACUAUGAAGAAAUAGAAAUUGACUAAAUGCCUGAAAAGAGAUUUGAAAGAAUGACAGAUUACUCAACAAGACAGAAAAAUAUUUACAUGAAAUAAGUAAGUCUGUACAUGACAUUAAAGAAGAAUUCUUCAGAGAGAUGGAUAUAUUGAAGAAAGAUCAAACAGAAAUAUUAGAAAUGAAGUAUUCGAUAACAAAAAACACAGGGCUUAGCACUGUGGCAGAGUGGAUAAAGCCACUGCCUACAGUGCUGGCAUCCUGUAUGGGCACUGGUUUGAGUCCUGGCUGUUCCACUUCCAAUCCAGCUCUCUGCUAUGGCCUGGGAAAGCAGUGGAAAAUGGCCCAGGUCCUUGGGCCUUCGCACCCAGGUGGGAGACCUGAAAGAAGCUCCUGGCUCCUGGUUUGGAUCGGCAUAGCUCUGGCCAUUUCAGCCCAUUGGGGAGUGAACCAGCAGGUGGAAGACCUCUCUCUGCCUCUCCUCUCUGUGUAACACUGACUUUCAAAUAAAUAAAUCUUAAAAAAAAAUGAAAUAAAAAAAUAGUGGAAAGCCUUAACAACUAAGUUGAUGAGGCAGAAGAAAGAACAUUUGGCCUAGAAAUGGGUUUGUUCAAAUAUCUCAGUCAGACAAGAAAAAAAAAAGGAAUUAGAAAGAGCAAAAACAGUGUUUGGUAUCUGUGGGAUACCAUCAAACAGCUAAAUAUACGAGUCUUAGGGGUAUAGAAAGUAUAGAAAAAAAGAAAGACUUAGAAAACUUAUUCAGUGAAGAAAUAUAAAAAUUCUACAAUUUGGACAUCCAAAUACCCUAAAUUUGCAUGGUCAGAAAAAGAUCAUAACCAUGAGAGAUUGAUUAUAAGUUUGAUUAUAAUUUUUCAAAAAUAAAACAUAAAGAGAAUAUCCUAAAAUAUGCAAGAGAGGAAUGCCAUUAUCAUAUUUAAAGGGUUUUCCAUUACAUUAAAAGCAGAUUUCUCUUGUUUAUGGAGUCAGUAAUCACCCUAGGCUCUGUUAAGUCAACGACAGGAGUCACUAUGCACUUACUCCUCAUGUAGGAUCUCUGUCCUAAAUGUGCUGUACAUUGUGAUUUAAUGCUAUAACUAGUACUCAAACAGUAUUUUACACUUUGUGUUUCUGCGUGGGUGCAAACUAUUGAAAUCUUUACUUAAUAUAUGCUAAAUUGAUUCUGUAUAUAAUGAUAAUUGAAAAUGAAUCUUGAUGUGAAUAGAAGGGGAGAGGGAGCGGGAGAGGGGAGGGUUGCGGGUGGGAGGGACGUUAUGGGGGGAAGCCAUUGUAAUCCAUAAGCUGUACUUUGGAAAUUUAUAUUCAUUAAAUAAAAGUUUAAAAAAAAGGCAGAUUUCUCAACAGAAACCCUACAGACUAGGAGAGAAUGGAGAGACAUUGUUCACACCCUAAAAGAAAAAAACUGCCAACCCAGAAUACUUUACCUAAUGAAGCUCUAAUUCAUAAAUGAAGGUGAAAUAAAGACCUUCCAAGACAAACAAAAGUUGAGAGAAUUUGUUACCACCUGAUAAUUAAGUGUAUAUUACAGAUGAUAAUUAAGGAUAUAAUACACAUAGAAACAAAGAAAGCCAAUUAGCAGCAUGAAAGAAAGUAAAGGAAGAAAACCUCCUAGUAAAAGUACAAAGGAAACCAAAACAAGCAAUAGGAAUAUUAAGGGGGCAAUGGCAGGACCAAGUUGUUACUGAUCAAUAAUAAUAUUAAAUGUAAAUGAACUAGUUUUCCAAUUAAAAGAUUGGCUAAAUGGAUUAAAAAACAAGAUACAUCUCUACAUGAUGCCUACAAGAAGCAUACUUCAUUAGUAAAAGUACACACAGACUGAAAGUGAGAAGAUAGAAAAAGAUAUACUAUGCAUAUGGAAAUAAAAAAUGAGGCAGGAGUAACUAUUCUCUUAUCAGAUAAAAUAAACUUUCAGACAAAACUGUGAAAAUAGACAAAGAAGGUUCUUAUGUAAUGAUUAAGGAAUUAAUUUGAUGUGACUAUAGUAACGCUUAUGCUUCCAAUGCCAGAGAACCUGGUUUUAUAAAACAAAUGUUAAUGGCUGGCGCCACGGUUUACUAGGCUAAUCCUCUGCCUGCAGUGCCGGCACUCCAGGUUCCAGUCCCAGUUGGGGUGCCAGUUCUGUCCCGGUUGCUCCUCUUCCAGUCCAGCUCUCUGCUGUGGCCUGGGAAGGUAGUGGAGGAUGGCCCAAGUGCUUGGGCCCUGCACCCACAUGGGAGACCAGGAAGAAGUACCUGGCUCCCGGCUUUGGAUCGGUGCAGCGCGCUGGCUGCAGUGGCCAUUUGAGGGGUGAACCAAUGGAAAAGGAAGACCUUUCUUUUUCUCUCUCUCUCUUUCUCUCUCUCUCACUGUCUAGCUUUGCCUGUCAAAAAAAAUAAAAUAAAAUAAAACAAAUGUUAAUGAAUCUCAAGGGAGACAUUAGCUCUAGUAUAAUAAUAAUUGGGGGCUUUAGCUCCCCACUUUUACCAAUGGACAGAUCAACACGACAAAAAAUCCAAUUAAGAAACAACAGAACUGAUCUACACUAUGGACCAAAUGGACCUAACAGGUACCUACAGAAUAUCUCAUUCCACAGUUGCAGAAUACACAUUCUGUGCAGCAGUGCAUGGAACAUUCUGUAGGUUAGACUACCUGCUAUGCCAUAAAACAAAUCUCAACAAAUUAAAAAAAGGUGAAAAUUGUAUCAUGUGUCUUUUCUGAUCACAUGGAGCGAAGCUGGAAAUUAGCAACAAACCAAACUCUGGAAAAUAUACAAAGAUGCAGUCGGCGCCGUGGUUCACUUGGUUAAUCCUCCACCUGUGGCGCCAGCAUUCCAUAUGGACGCCAGGUUCUAGUCCCGGUGGCUCCUCUUCCAGUCCAGCUGUCUGCUGUGGCCCUGGAGUGCAGUGGAGGAUGGCCCAAGUGCUUGGGCCCUGCCCCCUCAUGGGAGACCAGGAGGAGGCACCUGGCUCCUGGCUUCAAAUCGGUGUAGCACUGGCCGUGGCUGCCAUUUGGUAGGUGAAACAAUGGAAGGAAGACCUUUCUCUCUGUCUCUCUGUCUCUCUGUCUCUCUGUCUCUCUCUCUCUCUCUGAAUAACUCUGUCAAAUAAAUUAAAAAAAAUUUUAUACAAAGACAUAGAGACUGAAUGACAUGCUGCUGAAUGAAGAGUGUGCCAUAGAGGAAAUCAAAAGGAAAAUCAAACCAUUCCUUGAAAUUAAUGAAAAUACAAACACAACAUUUUAAAACGUAUGGGAUAUAGAAAAAGUAGUAUUAAGAAGAACGUUUAUAGCAAUAACAGCCUAUAUAUAUAUAUAUUAUAUAUAUAUAAAACGGUAUCAAAUAAACAAUCAAACAAUGCACCUCAAAGACCUAGGAAAAUAAGAACAAACCAAACCCAAAUUUAGUCGGAGGAAAGGAAUAAUGAUAAUAAUAAAAACUACCAAAGACCAGUGAAAUGAAGAGCCGUGUUUUUGAAAACCUAAAUAAAAUUGAAAAACUGUUGGCCCAACUAACCAAAAAGUGGUGGGGGAAAGAAACUCAAAUUAACAAUCUUGGUGUUGAAACUGGAAAUGUUACACCUGAUACCACAGAAAUAUGAAGAAUAAUUACCAGUUAUUCCAAAUAGCUAUCUGGCAACAAAUUGGGAAAUCUAGAAGAAAUGGAAAGGUUUCUGGACAUAUAUAAUUUGCCAAAAUUGAGGCAAGAAGAUUUAGAAAAUCAGAAUAGAUCAAUAACCAAGACUGGGAUUGAAUAGUAAAGAGCCUCUUAACAAAGAAAAGCGCAGGACCAGGUGGUUUCCCUGCUGAAUUCUACCAAACUUUUAAAGAAGUAAUCACUAUUAGAUCAUUCAAAAAAAUUGAAAGGGAAGGAACUCUUCCAAAGUCAUUCCAUGCGGCUUUAGCUCCCCACUUUUACCAAUGGACAGAUCAACACGACAAAAAAUCAAAAAAAAUAUGGCUACCAUUACCAUAAUUCCAAAACCAGAGAAAGAUACAUCAACAAAAAAGACAACUAUAUACCAAUAGCCUUGAUAAUUGCAGAUGCAAAAAUCCUCACCAAAAUGCUAGCAAAUCUAAUCCAACAACACAUCAAAAAGAUCAUUCACCCGGAUCAAGUGGGAUUUAUCCCUGAUAUGCAGGGAUGAUUCAAUACUCAAAUCAAUAAGUGUGAUAUGUCUCAUCAACAAAAUAAAAGAUAAAAACUGUAUGAAUAUCUCAAUAGAUGAAGAGAAAGCCGUUGAUAAAAUACAACAUCCUUUCAUGAUAACAAGAACCUUUUAAAAAUUGAGUGUAGAAGGAACAUACAUCAACACAAUCAAGGCAAUAUAUGACAAGCCCACUGCUAGCAUCAUAUUGAAUGGGGAAAAGCUAGAAGCAUUUCCACUAAGAUCUUUGUAUCUUCAACAAAUGGUAUGGGGGACAUUGGAUUUCCACAUGCAGAAGCUUGAAACAAGACACAUACCUUGCACCCUAUAUAAAAAUCAGCUUACAAUGCUAAAGGAAUGUAAACCUAAGACUUAGAACCCUCAAAUUACUAGAGAAAAACCUAGGGGAAAUGCUGUAGGACAUUGUCCUAGGUAAAGAUUUCUUGAAUAAGACCCCAGAAUCACAGGCAAUAAAAGCAAAAAUAGACAAAUAGGAUUAUAUCAAAUUAAGAAACUUCUUCACAGCAAAAGAAACAAUCAACAAAGUGAAGGGGCAAAAAUAGAAUGGGAGAAAAUAUUUGCAAACUAUGAAUCUGAUAAAGGAUAAUAUGCAGAAUAUGUAAGGAGUUAAAGAAACUCAACAACAACAAAACAAGUAAUCCAGUUAAGAAGUGGGCAAAGGGAGGCCGACACUGUGGCACAACAGUUCAAGCCACUGCCUGUAACACCAAGCAUCCCAUAUGAACACCAGUUCAAGUCUCAGCUGUUCCACUUCUGAUCCAGCUCCCUGCUUAUGCACCUAGGAAAGCAGUGGAAGAUGAUCCAAGUAGUUGGGUCCCUGAACCCACAUGGGAGAUCCUGAAGAAGUUCCUGGCUCCUGGCUUUGGCCUGCCCUCCCCCGCCCUUGCCUUUUAAAUAAUAAUGUUUUAAUGGGCAAAGGAUAUAAACAGGCAUUUUUUGAAGGAUGAAGGACAAAUGGCUAACAGACACAUGAAAAAAUAAUCAGGGGCAUGAGCCAUCAGGGCAAUACAAAUUAAAACCACAAUGAGGUAUCACUUCACCCCAGUUAGAAUGCCUAUCAUCCACAAAAUAACAAAUUCUGGUAAGGAUAUAGAGAAAAGGGAACCAUAAUAUACUCUUGGUAGGAAUGUAAACUGGUUCAACCAUUAUGGAAGACAGUGUGGAGACUCCUCAGAAAACAAAACCUAGAUCUACCAUAUAACCCAACUAUCCCACUCCUGGGAAUAUAUUCAAGUGAAAUUAAAUCAGCAUAUGAAAUCGCGACCUGUACUCCCAUGUUUAUAGGAGCUCAUUUCACAAUAGCUGGGAAAUGGAAUCAACCUACAUGCCCAUCAACCAAGGACUGGAUAAAGAAAAUGUGGUGUGUGUGUGUGUAUAUAUAUAUAUAUAUAUAUAUACAUAUUAUAAAAUGGAAUACUACUCAAUCAUAAAAAAAUGAAAUCCUGACAUUUAAAACAAAAUUGAUAUAACUGGAGAUCUUUAUGCUAAGUGAAAAAAACCACAUUAUUAUAGAUAAAAAUUGUGUGGAUGUCAGAUCAUUUGCUUUGUGAUAAAUAUUGAGCCACUGAAUCAUACUAUGUAAAUGACAAUAUACACUUGUUUCACAUGUUUUGAAAAAAAAGAAAUGGAGAGGGGAGGAAUGGUAAGGACUCUUAGGAUCCUAGUAAUGCUUUGUUCUUAAUUUGGAUGUUGGUUAUGAGUGUAUUCAGAUGACAAAACAAAUCAUUUGGGGCCGGUGCUGUGGUGCAGUGGGUUAACACCCUGGCCUGAAGCACCGGCAUCCCCUAUGGGCACCAGUUCUGGUCUCUGCUGCUCCUCUUCUGAUCCAGCUCUCUGCUGUGGCCUGGGAAAGCAGUGGAAGAUGGCCCAAGUCCUUGGGCACCUGCACCCAUGUGGGAGACCUGGAAGAGGCUCUUGGCUUCUGGCUUCGGAUCUGCAUAGCUCCGGCCGUUGCAGCCAACUGGGGAGUGAACCAUGGAAUGGAAGACCUCUCUCUCUCUCUCUCUCUCUCUCUCUCUGCCUCUUCUCUCUCUGUGUAACUCUGACUUUCAAAUAAAUAAAUCUUUCAAAAAAUCACUUAUCCAUACACUUAAUCUUAAAAAAUGUCUUUUUUAAAAUAACAUCUUCCUUCAAACUCUGUAUAACCUACUGGUAUUCCUUAUUAGGUUAGAAAUAAUGGCCUUGAACCACCCUUUCUACUCUCCAAAUUAUUGGGUAGUUAUCUAAGCUAUGGGAAUCAGAAGACUUUACUGGGGUGGGUGUUUGGUGUGGUGUUUAAAAGUCACAGCUUGAGACACCUGUGUCCCACAUCAGAGUGCCUGGGUUUGAAUCUCAGCUUUGCUUCAACUCAAGCUACCUGCUAAUGCACAUCCUAGGAGGCAGUCGGUGACAGUCCAAGUGCUCAGGUCCCUGCCACCCUGUGGGAGGCCCAGAUUAGAUCAGGGUUCCCAGCUUUGGCCUCACCAACCUCUGGCUGUGGUGGGUAUUUACAGACUGAACCAGUGAAUGGGAGAUACCUUUCUUGGCCUCUCAUUCUAUCUUUGUCUCUCUUUCACUGUUUUCUCUGCCUUUCAAAUAAAAUGAAAAUAACUUUAAAGACUUUACUAUCUCUGGUCAAUAAAAUUUUAUUGUAUUCCACAAGGCACGAUUCAUGGACCUAAGCAAAAAAAGGAAUCAGGAAGCAAAUUAGAAUGUAGUUACUUAAAAUGUGAAUGAGAGAAUUUAUGACAAAGUGUUUGAUUAUAAAUCAUUCUUUUUAGGGUGAUGUUUUAGCAACUACAGGCAUUAAUUCAACAACAGUGAAUCUACUAAGCAGCUUGACUAUUUUAUGUGCUGUUGCCACCUUCAAGGAUUUCCAGAUUAACAAGACUAUUUUUUUUAAGAUUUAUUUGUUUAUUUCAAAGGCAGAGUUACCAAG
Non-coding RNA from Oryctolagus cuniculus (rabbit), 20432 nucleotides. The record is from RefSeq and is a predicted model, not a curated record. Lineage: Eukaryota; Metazoa; Chordata; Mammalia; Lagomorpha; Leporidae.